AUACGUAGGUGACAAGCGUUAUCCGGAUUUACUGGGCGUAAAGGGCGUGUAGGCGGUCUUGCAAGUCAGAAGUGAAAUUCCUGAGCUCAACUCGGGCGCUGCUUCUGAAACUGCAGGACUUGAGUGCUGGAGGGGAUAGCGGAAUUCCUAGUGGAGCGGUAAAAUGCGCAGAUAUUAGGAAGAACACCGGUGGCGAAGGCGGCUAUCUGGACAGUAACGGACGCUGAGGCGCGAAAGCGUGGGGAGCAAACAGGAUUAGAUACCCUGGUAGGCCACGCCGUAAACGAUGAAUACUAGGUGUAGGGGGCAUCGACUCCCUCUGUGCCGCAGUUAACACAAUAAGUAUUCCGCCUGGGGAGUACGGCCGCAAGGUUGAAACUCAAAUGAAUUGACGGGG
Molecule: ribosomal RNA, 397 nt
Filed under: uncultured bacterium
Lineage: Bacteria
Description: partial 16S ribosomal RNA
Rfam family: Bacterial small subunit ribosomal RNA
Source: RNAcentral